UUAAGCGACUAAGCGUACACGGUGGAUGCCCUGGCAGUCAGAGGCGAUGAAGGACGUGCUAAUCUGCGAAAAGCGUCGGUAAGGUGAUAUGAACCGUUAUAACCGGCGAUGUCCGAAUGGGGAAACCCAGUGCAAUUCGUUGCACUAUCGUUAACUGAAUACAUAGGUUAACGAGGCGAACCGGGGGAACUGAAACAUCUAAGUACCCCGAGGAAAAGAAAUCAACCGAGAUUCCCCCAGUAGCGGCGAGCGAACGGGGAGCAGCCCAGAGUCUGAAUCAGCUUGUGUGUUAGUGGAACGGUCUGGAAAGUCCGACGGUACAGGGUGAUAGUCCCGUACACCAAAAUGCACAGGUUGUGAACUCGAAGAGUAGGGCGGGACACGUGGUAUCCUGUCUGAAUAUGGGGGGACCAUCCUCCAAGGCUAAAUACUCCUGACUGACCGAUAGUGAACCAGUACCGUGAGGGAAAGGCGAAAAGAACCCCGGCGAGGGGAGUGAAAAAGAACCUGAAACCGUGUACGUACAAGCAGUGGGAGCACCUUCGGGUGUGACUGCGUACCUUUUGUAUAAUGGGUCAGCGACUUAUAUUCUGUAGCAAGGUUAACCGUAUAGGGGAGCCGCAGGGAAACCGAGUCUUAACUGGGCGUUAAGUUGCAGGGUAUAGACCCGAAACCCGGUGAUCUAGCCAUGGGCAGGUUGAAGGUUGGGUAACACUAACUGGAGGACCGAACCGACUAAUGUUGAAAAAUUAGCGGAUGACUUGUGGCUGGGGGUGAAAGGCCAAUCAAACCGGGAGAUAGCUGGUUCUCCCCGAAAGCUAUUUAGGUAGCGCCUCGUGAAUUCAUCUUCGGGGGUAGAGCACUGUUUCGGCUAGGGGGUCAUCCCGACUUACCAACCCGAUGCAAACUACGAAUACCGAAGAAUGUUAUCACGGGAGACACACGGCGGGUGCUAACGUCCGUCGUGAAGAGGGAAACAACCCAGACCGCCAGCUAAGGUCCCAAAGUCAUGGUUAAGUGGGAAACGAUGUGGGAAGGCACAGACAGCCAGGAUGUUGGCUUAGAAGCAGCCAUCAUUUAAAGAAAGCGUAAUAGCUCACUGGUCGAGUCGGCCUGCGCGGAAGAUGUAACGGGGCUAAACCAUGCACCGAAGCUGCGGCAGCGACACUAUGUGUUGUUGGGUAGGGGAGCGUUCUGUAAGCCUGCGAAGGUGUGCUGUGAGGCAUGCUGGAGGUAUCAGAAGUGCGAAUGCUGACAUAAGUAACGAUAAAGCGGGUGAAAAGCCCGCUCGCCGGAAGACCAAGGGUUCCUGUCCAACGUUAAUCGGGGCAGGGUGAGUCGACCCCUAAGGCGAGGCCGAAAGGCGUAGUCGAUGGGAAACAGGUUAAUAUUCCUGUACUUGGUGUUACUGCGAAGGGGGGACGGAGAAGGCUAUGUUAGCCGGGCGACGGUUGUCCCGGUUUAAGCAUGUAGGCUGAUUGUCCAGGCAAAUCCGGAUAAUCAAGGCUGAGGUGUGAUGACGAGGCACUACGGUGCUGAAGUAACAAAUGCCCUGCUUCCAGGAAAAGCCUCUAAGCAUCAGGUAACAUCAAAUCGUACCCCAAACCGACACAGGUGGUCAGGUAGAGAAUACCAAGGCGCUUGAGAGAACUCGGGUGAAGGAACUAGGCAAAAUGGUGCCGUAACUUCGGGAGAAGGCACGCUGGUGUGUAGGUGAAGUCCCUGCGGAUGGAGCUGAGACCAGUCGAAGAUACCAGCUGGCUGCAACUGUUUAUUAAAAACACAGCACUGUGCAAACACGAAAGUGGACGUAUACGGUGUGACGCCUGCCCGGUGCCGGAAGGUUAAUUGAUGGGGUUAUCCGUAAGGAGAAGCUCUUGAUCGAAGCCCCGGUAAACGGCGGCCGUAACUAUAACGGUCCUAAGGUAGCGAAAUUCCUUGUCGGGUAAGUUCCGACCUGCACGAAUGGCGUAAUGAUGGCCAGGCUGUCUCCACCCGAGACUCAGUGAAAUUGAACUCGCUGUGAAGAUGCAGUGUACCCGCGGCAAGACGGAAAGACCCCGUGAACCUUUACUAUAGCUUGACACUGAACAUUGAGCCUUGAUGUGUAGGAUAGGUGGGAGGCUUUGAAGCGUGGACGCCAGUCUGCGUGGAGCCAACCUUGAAAUACCACCCUUUAAUGUUUGAUGUUCUAACGUUGGCCCCUUACCGGGGUUGCGGACAGUGUCUGGUGGGUAGUUUGACUGGGGCGGUCUCCUCCCAAAGCGUAACGGAGGAGCACGAAGGUUAGCUAAUCCUGGUCGGACAUCAGGAGGUUAGUGCAAUGGCAUAAGCUAGCUUGACUGCGAGCGUGACGGCGCGAGCAGGUGCGAAAGCAGGUCAUAGUGAUCCGGUGGUUCUGAAUGGAAGGGCCAUCGCUCAACGGAUAAAAGGUACUCCGGGGAUAACAGGCUGAUACCGCCCAAGAGUUCAUAUCGACGGCGGUGUUUGGCACCUCGAUGUCGGCUCAUCACAUCCUGGGGCUGAAGUAGGUCCCAAGGGUAUGGCUGUUCGCCAUUUAAAGUGGUACGCGAGCUGGGUUUAGAACGUCGUGAGACAGUUCGGUCCCUAUCUGCCGUGGGCGCUGGAGAAUUGAGGGGGGCUGCUCCUAGUACGAGAGGACCGGAGUGGACGCAUCACUGGUGUUCGGGUUGUCAUGCCAAUGGCACUGCCCGGUAGCUAAAUGCGGAAGAGAUAAGUGCUGAAAGCAUCUAAGCACGAAACUUGCCCCGAGAUGAGUUCUCCCUGAGACUUUAAGUCUCCUGAAGGAACGUUAAAGACGAUGACGUUGAUAGGCCGGGUGUGUAAGCGCAGCGAUGCGUUGAGCUAACCGGUACUAAUGAACCGUGAGGCUUAACCUU
Molecule: ribosomal RNA, 2900 nt
Filed under: Klebsiella pneumoniae
Lineage: Bacteria; Pseudomonadati; Pseudomonadota; Gammaproteobacteria; Enterobacterales; Enterobacteriaceae
Description: bacterial LSU rRNA
Rfam family: Bacterial large subunit ribosomal RNA
Source: RNAcentral